GUACAAUUUGCCAAUGCUUCCACAACGGAACCAAUUGUUUUACAGUCUGUUCCGCAUGAUCAUUGUAAUAAGAUAGGGUCUUGCUCUGUCACCCUGUCUGGAGUGCAGUGGCACUGUCACAGUCAAUCCAACAUCAACCUCCUGGGUUCAAGUGAUCCUCCCCGCUCAGCCUCGCAAGCAGCAGGGACUACUGCCACAUUGUCGGGGGAAAUUCAGCCCGUGAUAUUUCACGUGCCCAGAUUUCAUGCUGUUCAAACACACAUGCUUUACCAACAAUUUGUGCAGUUAACACAACCAUCACAGGGUCCUGAGGCGACAUUCAUCCUCAGCUUACGAAGAUGACAGGAUUAAGAGAUUAAAGACAAGACAGGCAUAGGAAAUCACAAGAGUAUUGA
Molecule: long non-coding RNA, 395 nt
Organism: Symphalangus syndactylus (siamang)
Lineage: Eukaryota; Metazoa; Chordata; Mammalia; Primates; Hylobatidae
Source: RefSeq, a predicted model, not a curated record